Non-coding RNA from Coturnix japonica (Japanese quail), 1584 nucleotides. The record is from RefSeq and is a predicted model, not a curated record. NCBI's taxonomy places the organism in Eukaryota, Metazoa, Chordata, Aves, Galliformes, Phasianidae.
AACCCUAUAUAGGAUUGGGAACUCAAGUACGUCCAUAGGAACCACAGCCUCGUCUUCGAUGCCCAGCUCUAUCGGGAGCCCUGUCCGGACGUUUACCUGUUCCCGUUGUUUUCGCCCCGUUUCUGCUCCGACCUAUUGGACGAGGUUCAGCGUUAUGGGAUUUGGGGUCGGCAACAGCAACAGCCCGGUGCUGAGUCGGUUCCGCUGUCGCUGCUGUCGCUGGUUCCGUCGUAUCUCGGGGCCCUGAGACGGUUCAUGGGACCCACGGCCCUAAAACUGUACCCGGGAUAUAGGAUGCAGGGCCGUGCCGUGCUGAGCUCCGUGUUCCGGUACCGCCCCCCAUCGGACGAAGCUCCGCCCCCCGACCCCCAUCAUGGCCCCCCAGCAGCCACCGUCACCGUCACCGUGGGGCUGGGGGGGCAACACGAAGGUGGGGGCUGGCGCUUCCCCCGCUACAACUGCACGGUGGGGGUCCCCCCCCCAGGCUGGGCCCUGCUGCACCCGGGGAGGUUGACACACAGAGCUGAGCUGCUGCCCACAACCGGGGGAACCCACUACGCGCUGGUGACGCUGCUGGACCCAUGAGGGACUAUGCCUGUUUAUGAAUGGAUCCCAUCCACCAAUGAUGGCCUCUUUAUGAAUGGAUCCCAGCCAUUUACAGCCAGUUUAUGAAUGGAACCCAGUCAUCACUCACUGUUUAUGAAUGGAUCUCAGUCAUCAAUGAUGGCCUGUCUAUGAAUGGAUAUCAGCCAUUUACUCCCUGUUUAUGAAUGGAUCUCAGUCAUCAUUUACUCCCUGUUUAUGAAUGGAUCCCAGUCAUUUACUGCCUGUCUAUGAAUGGAACCCAGUUAUCACUCCCUGUCUAUGAAUGGAUCUCAGUCAUUUAGUGCCUGUCUAUGAAUGGAUCUCAUCCACCAAUGACGGCCUGUUUAUGAAUGGAUCCCAGUCAUCACUCACUGUUUAUGAAUGGAUCUCAGUCAUCAAUGACGGCCUGUUUAUGAAUGGAUCUCAAUCAUUCACUGCCUGUCUAUGAAUGGAUCUCAGUCACUCGUUGCCUGUUUAUGAAUGGAUUUCAGUUAUCACUCCCUGUUUAUGAAUGGAUCUCAAUCAUUCCCUGCCUGUUUAUGAAUGGAACCCAGUUAUCGCUCCCAGUUUAUGAAUGGAUCCCAGUCAUCACUCACUGUUUAUGAAUGAAUCCCAUCCACCAAUGACAGCCUGUUUAUGAAUGGAUCCCAGUCAUCACUCCCUGUUUAUGAAUGGAUCCCAUCCUCCAAUGACGGCCUGUUUAUGAAUGGAUCUCAGCCAUCACUCACUGUUUGUGAAUGGAUCUCAGUCAUUUACAGCCUGUAUAUGAAUGGAUCUCAUCCACCAAUGACGUCCUGUUUAUGAAUGGAUCUCAGUCAUCAAUGACGUCCUGUCUAUGAAUGGAUAUCAGCCAUUUACUCCCUGUCUAUGAAUGGAUCUCAGUCAUUCACUGCCUGUUUAUGAAUGGAUCCCAGUUAUCACUCCCUGUUUAUGAAUGGAUCUCAGUCACUACUGACUGUCUGUUUAUGAAUAGAUCUUGACCACCAAUGACUGCCUCUU